AACGAACGCUGGCGGCAUGCCUAACACAUGCAAGUCGAACGAGACCUUCGGGUCUAGUGGCGCACGGGUGCGUAACGCGUGGGAACCUGCCCUUAGGUUCGGAAUAACUCCCCGAAAGGGGUGCUAAUACCGGAUAAUGUCUUCGGACCAAAGAUUUAUCGCCUUUGGAUGGGCCCGCGUUGGAUUAGCUAGUUGGUAGGGUAAAAGCCUACCAAGGCGACGAUCCAUAGCUGGUCUGAGAGGAUGAUCAGCCACACUGGGACUGAGACACGGCCCAGACUCCGAGGGGAGGAGGAAGUGGGAAAUAUGGAAAAAGGGGGGAAGGCUGGACCCAGCAAUGCCGGGGGAGUGAGGAGGGCUUGAGGGUUGAAAAGCUUUUUUCCCCGGGAGAAUAAGGAAAGUCCGGGAAAAAUAGGCUGGGGCUAGCCCCGUC
This 433-nucleotide ribosomal RNA is filed under the name uncultured bacterium. RNAcentral describes it as "partial 16S ribosomal RNA". It matches the Rfam family "Bacterial small subunit ribosomal RNA", at positions 29 to 507 of the family's 1533-position model. The record is from RNAcentral.